AUUCCGCAGAGUCCCAGCACAGAGCAGAGUAGAACAGAGUAGGAUUGGAGCUGAGAGAUAGUAAGUAAAUAGGCAGCAGAAAUAUGUCAAGCAACAAUACCCCAUCUAGAAUAAAAGCACAAUGAAUGCAGGAAUUUUGCCAACUUCUGGCGCAGAGAUGGCUUUCAAAAUCUAUUUGGUGAAUGAAUGAAUGAAUUGCAUUUUCUUCCUAAAUUUCACAAUUGAGUGGUCCUAAUCUGCAUAUCCAAGAGCAAUGUAUGUGAGCCUACGUUUCCACAGGCUCACCCACAGAAUGUGUGCUCAAACUUUUGGAUUUUUGCCCAUCUACUAGGUUAGCAUUUUACCUAUGUAUGGCAUUUUCUAUUUUCAGUGACGGACUAUGAGCCGUGAUAAACACAUUACUCCCUUCUUUAACAAAAAAGAGCAUGGUUAACUCCAAAGACUUCUCUAGACCAGCCUGGAUGGUACUUAAACUUUAAUCAACCAAUGCUCAAGUAAAAGAGCAGUAUCCAGCCCCAGCACACCUAACUGUUUUGCAUAACAUAGUGCUCCUGACUGGAGAGCCCAGGCUGAGAUGGUGUUAAAUGCUUUUACCACGUGGGCUCCUGGCACCAACUGAGCAAGAUCCCACCCCACAGGCCUUGGAAGCCUGAGGCAGUAUUCUUCUGGGAUAUUUCCAACUAGGCUUCCCAUGAGCAUGUUAGAGCCAGCCUAGCUGGUGAAUUUUACUUCUGUCACCUCUCAGAGGGAAGAGGUCUGAGAGGCUCAGG
This 770-nucleotide non-coding RNA is filed under the name Pongo abelii (Sumatran orangutan). Lineage: Eukaryota; Metazoa; Chordata; Mammalia; Primates; Hominidae. The record is from RNAcentral.